RNAcentral lists this transfer-messenger RNA (95 nucleotides) under Actinomycetota bacterium. Its description in RNAcentral is "Actinobacteria bacterium partial transfer-messenger RNA". It matches the Rfam family "transfer-messenger RNA", at positions 276 to 374 of the family's 374-position model. Rfam says of the family: Bacterial tmRNA, also known as 10Sa RNA or SsrA, is named for its dual tRNA and mRNA-like properties. The record is from RNAcentral. Lineage: Bacteria; Bacillati; Actinomycetota.
AGAUCCGGAACUGAGAAAACGAUAAGCACACUACGCCCGUAGAAGUCUUGUUUUGGUACCGAAGGACCCGGGUUCGAUUCCCGGCACCUCCACUA